This 497-nucleotide ribosomal RNA is filed under the name uncultured bacterium. Its description in RNAcentral is "partial 16S ribosomal RNA". It matches the Rfam family "Bacterial small subunit ribosomal RNA", at positions 28 to 507 of the family's 1533-position model. The record is from RNAcentral.
GAUGAACGCUGGCGGCGUGCCUAAUACAUGCAAGUCGAGCGAACAGACGAGGAGCUUGCUCCUCUGACGUUAGCGGCGGACGGGUGAGUAACACGUGGAUAACCUACCUAUAAGACUGGGAUAACUUCGGGAAACCGGAGCUAAUACCGGAUAAUAUAUUGAACCGCAUGGUUCAAUAGUGAAAGACGGUUUUGCUGUCACUUAUAGAUGGAUCCGCGCCGCAUUAGCUAGUUGGUAAGGUAACGGCUUACCAAGGCAACGAUGCGUAGCCGACCUGAGCGGGUGAUCGGCCACACUGGAACUGAGACACGGUCCAGACUCCUACGGGAGGCAGCAGUAGGGAAUCUUCCGCAAUGGGCGAAAGCCUGACGGAGCAACGCCGCGUGAGUGAUAAAGGUCUUCGGGUCGUAAAACUCUGUUAUUAGGGAAGAACAAAUGUGUAAGUAACUAUGCACGUCUUGACGGUACCUAAUCAGAAAGCCACGGCUAACUACGUG